CGUCUAUAUACGUAUAGCAUAUCAAUAAGCGGAGGAAAAGAAACUAACUAGGAUUCCCUUAGUAACGGCGAGUGAAGCGGGAAGAGCUCAAAUUUGAAAUCUUCAAGGUUCUACCUUGACGAAUUGUAGUUUAAAGAAGUGUUUUCUGUUGGAUGUUUUGGUAAAAGUUCUUUGGAAUAGGACAUCAUAGAGGGUGAGAAUCCCGUAUUUGACCAUUACUUUCCAGCGUUGUGAUACACUUUCAAAGAGUCGGAUUGUUUGGGAAUGCAGUCCAAAAUGGGUGGUAAAUUUCAUCUAAAGCUAAAUAUUGGCGAGAGACCGAUAGCGAACAAGUACCGUGAGGGAAAGAUGAAAAGAACUUUGAAAAGAGAGUUAAACAGUACGUGAAAUUGUCAAAAGGGAAGCGUUUGACACCAGUGUUGUUUUCUCGAAAAUCAAUUAAAAAAAGAUUGGAUUUUGUGUUGUAUUGACUCUUAUCAGCUUUCUGCACUCUUUUCCUGUCUUUUUUAAUGCACUUUUCGUUUAACAAGUCAACAUCAAUUUUCUUUUGUUGUAAAAGGGUCAUUGGAAGGUGGCUUUCUCUUCGGAGAAAGUGUUUAUAGCCUUUGAGCCUCUGCAAUCGGAGAGACUGAGGUCUGCAGCGUAGAUCCUUCGGGGUUAGAUACAUUUGUGCUAAGCUACAGCUUUUCAUAGACAACUUGUUGACUAUGUUUAGUCUUGUAGACUUACUCCGCUGAUGCUAUUUUACCUACGCUUAGGAUGUUGACUGAUAUGUAGUCGU
RNAcentral lists this ribosomal RNA (781 nucleotides) under uncultured Neocallimastigales. RNAcentral describes it as "partial large subunit ribosomal RNA". It matches the Rfam family "Eukaryotic large subunit ribosomal RNA", at positions 26 to 643 of the family's 3401-position model. Lineage: Eukaryota; Fungi; Neocallimastigomycota; Neocallimastigomycetes; Neocallimastigales. The record is from RNAcentral.